GUAAAUUCUCACCAGUAGCGCACGGCUCUUUAAUCAGAGCCAUUCCCCUAGACCCAAAACAAUUGGAAUAGUUUUGGGUCUUUUUUU
RNAcentral lists this small RNA (87 nucleotides) under Shewanella hanedai. The record is from RNAcentral. Lineage: Bacteria; Pseudomonadati; Pseudomonadota; Gammaproteobacteria; Alteromonadales; Shewanellaceae.